AAAUUUUGCUCCUUAUUGUCCUUCAUAUAUUUUGCACAUUUAAUCUUUACAUUGAGGACAAUGUUUCAUUUAGGUUGGGGGAAGGAAUCAAAAUGUUCCAAAAAAAAAAAAAGUUCUUACCGACCGAUGAUAAUAUUUGAAAUUGUUUUUAUAUUAUUAUGACUAGGGGAUGCUGCUUUGAUUUAGUUUAAGCUUGUUCAUGUUAGAUUGAUCUACAUUGAGCACAAUAAUCAUGAAAAUCACAUAUUAUUUGGAUUGGAUCAAUGGAUAGAAUAUGUAGAAUUAACUAUGAAAAAAAAAACAAAAAAAAAAUCCAACUAAACCAAUUCUAGGAUAGUUUGGGGUGGUUGAACUGUUGUGGGGAGACAUUGAGAUAGAUGUGGAUUCCAUGUGUGUUAAAUUUUCUGUGGAUUGCUUAAGACCAAUGAGAUGACAAGUAGGUGAAAAUCUUAAGUUAAAGAUCGAUUUUCGAGAAUAAGUGUUUAAUGAGGGGCAUUGCACUAAUCAUUGCAAAGAAGGGAAAAAGCUGCCAUGUUGUGAAGCUACCCUAAAAGAGCCCAAUGAGAACAAUUAUAUACAUAAAAAGAGAUAGGCUAGUGCAUGAAACAGAAUACGCACGGCAAACUUGAAAAAAAGCAGGUGCAUGAAACAGAAGACGCACUACAUGCCUUGAUUAAGUCCCAAACACUUAUUUUAGAGAAUUAGACCUUUGAUAAGGGAUUACUAACUUAGUUGAUUCUUGGAGGUUGAGUCGGUCAAAAUUAAGGAGAAUCCUCAUUUAUUGAUGUGUUGAGCUACAAUUAGUAAAAUCUAACCAAACUAGAGAGGGUGAGUAAUAGUAUAAAUCACACCUUGGGAAAAUAGUUAGAAAAUCAAGUUUGAGGGUGUGCAUCCCACGAGAGAAGAGAGAAAUAAUUGACCAUUGAGGGUUGGGAUGAGUCCAAUUUAAAAAAGUAUGUGAUUGAAUUGAUUAUGCAUACACACACGCUGGUCGAGCAUUGGACAAGUUAGACUAUAUUUUGGUAACAAACCUUAGAAGAAUUUUGAUAAGCAAUUUCAAAUCCCAAGGCAAAUGGGACAAGCUAUUUCAUUGGAACUAUUUUUUGAAUUUUCAUUGCUAGAGACUAGCAAUAUCUUGGUUGGGGAGUGUGAUUAGUGUCUAAAAGUGCUUCAAAGAUAUAUCAUUUACAAGACAUUUUACAUUCACUUUGUUUGAAAACACUAAUGUUAGUCUCUAAUUUCAAUUCUCUUGCCGUAAAUUCAAUUUUCAUAAAUACAUGGUUUAAAAUGCAAUUAAUUGAAAUACGUAUUUACAUACAUGUCGGUAU
This 1328-nucleotide long non-coding RNA is filed under the name Olea europaea subsp. europaea. Lineage: Eukaryota; Viridiplantae; Streptophyta; Magnoliopsida; Lamiales; Oleaceae. The record is from RNAcentral.